GGAAUAUUGGUCAAUGGGCGCGAGCCUGAACCAGCCAAGUAGCGUGCAGGAUGACGGCCCUAUGGGUUGUAAACUGCUUUUAUGCGGGGAUAAAGUGCACCACGUGUGGUGUUUUGUAGGUACCGCAUGAAUAAGGACCGGCUAAUUCCGUGCCAGCAGCCGCGGUAAUACGGAAGGUCCGGGCGUUAUCCGGAUUUAUUGGGUUUAAAGGGAGCGCAGACGGCCUUGUAAGCGUGCAGUGAAAGCCCGGGGCUCACCCCCGGCGAGCUGCGCGAACUGCUGGGCUUGAGUGCGCGGAACGCGGGCGGAAUUCGUGGUGUAGCGGUGAAAUGCUUAGAUAUCACGAGGAACUCCGAUUGCGAAGGCAGCCCGCGGCAGCGCUACUGACGUGCAUGCUCGAAGGUGCGGGUAUCGAACA
Molecule: ribosomal RNA, 418 nt
Filed under: uncultured bacterium
Lineage: Bacteria
Description: bacterial SSU rRNA
Rfam family: Bacterial small subunit ribosomal RNA
Source: RNAcentral